AAAGGCGGGUUCGGGUCUCUCCUUCGCGGGGCCGCCACAAAAGCUGGUCAAAAGAAGACGAAUAAUUUCGACGCGUGUCGGGAUAUGAGUGGAAGGAGACUGAGGCACGUGAAUGCGGAGAAGAAGUUGGAGGAGUGGAAAGCGGAGGAAGAGGAUAGGAGGUUGGAGAAGAUGGCGGAUGAGUUUAUUAAGAAGAAGGCGAAGAAAGGGAAAAAAGGGGCUGGAGAUGGUGAGGCGGAGAAGUACGUGGCUAGGUAUAGAGAGGAGUCGGCGAAAUGUGCUGCAGUAGUUGAGGAGGCUAUGAAAGAGGUGUUUGGGAAUGGGAAGG
This 328-nucleotide long non-coding RNA is filed under the name Populus tremula. RNAcentral describes it as "long non-coding RNA (PTRE_LNC000936)". Lineage: Eukaryota; Viridiplantae; Streptophyta; Magnoliopsida; Malpighiales; Salicaceae. The record is from RNAcentral.